Molecule: small nuclear RNA, 87 nt
Organism: Callithrix jacchus (white-tufted-ear marmoset)
Lineage: Eukaryota; Metazoa; Chordata; Mammalia; Primates; Cebidae
Source: Ensembl
GUGCUCACUUCAGCAGCACAUAUACUAAAAUUGGAACGAUACAGAGAAGAUUAGCAUAAAAAAAUUGAAGAAUGUGAACAUUUUCAU